UACUUCCUCAGUGAAGCUAAACUCGAAGCAGCAAUUGCCCAGAGCACCUGCCUUACAAAGACUUCUCUAUGGGUAGUCUGUGAUUGGACAGCCACAGAAAGUCUAAGUGGGAUUCGAAGGGGUGAUCUUGCAAAGGCAGAUCUGCAGGUUUUACAAGUGUUUUUACAUAUAUACCAAAUGGAAAAAAAGCAUAAUUAAAUGCAUGUUUUUGUUUGGGCUAUAUCUUCUAAAUGGGGAUUUUUCAUUUUUGUGUUUGGGUAGUCGAGUGUCCCUUUAAAUCAACUGUGCCUCCUCUCAGAGGGAAUAAAAUAAGGGAUUGAACCCUUCCUAGCAGAUUGAAGUAUUCAGCAUCCCCUUACUGUGUAGGCAAAGCCUCUCCAUCCUUCGAAGGAAUGAUGCCGUAUAAUGUGUUUGGUUCUCGCUCUCAUGGUGAUCGUGAAUAGUAACUAUUGGUUAAAACGGAAAAUCUGAUUAAAUGCACAAUUUAGCACUAAGGCCUCAUUAUUCAAGUGCAAAAUAACCUUAUUCUGUGUCAUGGACCUCGUUUUAGGCUGGUCGGUAAGGUACAAAAUAGUUCAGGUAUGUGUUUUCUACAUAUUGCAGUCUGGAUUUCAUAACAUAAAAUUAAAGAUUAAAGUUUUAACUCCGCUGUUCAGUCUAAUUUGACAUUCUAUUAAUCUAUCAAAGUCAACUGAAGUCCCAGCUGCUACAACAGCGCCAACAAAAAGCAGUCUAUCUGUUGUAGGAGAUACUUGUACCACAAAACGGAACCUUCAUGUCCCGUAUAACUGUAGAAGAUUUAACCCCCUUGAUAAGUGGAU
Molecule: non-coding RNA, 821 nt
Organism: Pelobates cultripes (western spadefoot toad)
Lineage: Eukaryota; Metazoa; Chordata; Amphibia; Anura; Pelobatidae
Source: the annotation of a GenBank genome assembly